This 466-nucleotide ribosomal RNA is filed under the name Vreelandella stevensii. RNAcentral's name for it is "partial 16S ribosomal RNA". It matches the Rfam family "Bacterial small subunit ribosomal RNA", at positions 338 to 795 of the family's 1533-position model. The record is from RNAcentral. Lineage: Bacteria; Pseudomonadati; Pseudomonadota; Gammaproteobacteria; Oceanospirillales; Halomonadaceae.
CCUACGGGGGGCAGCAGUGGGGAAUAUUGGACAAUGGGGGGAACCCUGAUCCAGCCAUGCCGCGUGUGUGAAGAAGGCCCUCGGGUUGUAAAGCACUUUCAGUGAGGAAGAACGCCUGGUGGUUAAUACCCAUCAGGAAAGACAUCACUCACAGAAGAAGCACCGGCUAACUCCGUGCCAGCAGCCGCGGUAAUACGGAGGGGUGCGAGCGUUAAUCGGAAUUACUGGGCGUAAAGCGCGCGUAGGUGGCUUGAUAAGCCGGUUGUGAAAGCCCCGGGCUCAACCUGGGAACGGCAUCCGGGACUGUCGGGCUAGAGUGCAGGAGAGGAAGGGAGAAUUCCGGGUGUAGAGGUGAAAUGCGUAGAGAUAGGGAGGAAUAGCAGUGGCGAAGGGGGCGCUCUGGACUGACACUGACGCUGAGGUGCGAAAGCGUGGGGAGCAAACAGGAUUAGAUACCCCGGUAGUC